AUUGAACGCUGGCGGAAUGCUUUACACAUGCAAGUCGGGCGGCAGCGCGGGGGCAACCCUGGCGGCGAGCGGCGAACGGGUGAGUAACACAUCGGAACGUACCCUGUCGUGGGGGAUAACGAAUCGAAAGAUUCGCUAAUACCGCAUACGACCUGAGGGUGAAAGCGGGGGAUCGCAAGACCUCGCGCGAGAGGAGCGGCCGAUGGCGGAUUAGCUAGUUGGUGGGGUAAAGGCCCACCAAGGCGACGAUCCGUAGCGGGUCUGAGAGGACGGCCCGCCACACUGGGACUGAGACACGGCCCAGACUCCUACGGGAGGCAGCAGUGGGGAAUUUUGGACAAUGGGGGCAACCCUGAUCCAGCCAUUCCGCGUGAGUGAAGAAGGCCUUCGGGUUGUAAAGCUCUUCGGUCAGGAACGAAACGGACGGGCGUCUAACAUAGCCUGUCAAUGACGGUACCUCGAAGAAGAAGCACCGGCUAACUACGUGCCAGCAGCCGCGGUAAACUAGUACUACG
Molecule: ribosomal RNA, 515 nt
Filed under: uncultured bacterium
Lineage: Bacteria
Description: bacterial SSU rRNA
Rfam family: Bacterial small subunit ribosomal RNA
Source: RNAcentral